This is a non-coding RNA of Exiguobacterium sp. AT1b, 143 nucleotides long. The record is from Rfam. Lineage: Bacteria; Bacillati; Bacillota; Bacilli; Caryophanales.
AUAUUCCUUCGGGGUCGGGUGAAAUUCCCAACCGGCGGUGAUGGGCCCAUGCCCUAAGUCCGUGACCCGGGCGCACGUGUGCGAACGGUGGAUCUAGUGAGACUCUAGAGCCGACAGUAUAGUCUGGAUGGGAGAAGGAACAA